UACGGGGGGGGCAAGCGUUGUUCGGAAUUACUGGGCGUAAAGGGCUCGUAGGUGGCCAACUAAGUCAGACGUGAAACCCCUCGGCUUAACCGGGGAACUGCGUCUGAUACUGGAUGGCUUGAGUUUGGGAGAGGGACGCGGAAUUCCAGGUGUAGCGGUGAAAUGCGUAGAUAUCUGGAGGAACACCGGUGGCGAAGGCGGCGUCCUGGACCAACACUGACACUGAGGAGCGAAAGCCAGGGGAGCAAACGGG
RNAcentral lists this ribosomal RNA (253 nucleotides) under uncultured bacterium. RNAcentral describes it as "partial 16S ribosomal RNA". It matches the Rfam family "Bacterial small subunit ribosomal RNA", at positions 524 to 776 of the family's 1533-position model. The record is from RNAcentral.